AAUACGAAGGGACCUAGCGUAGUUCGGAAUUACUGGGCUUAAAGAGUUCGUAGGUGGUUGAAAAAGUUGGUGGUGAAAUCCCAGAGCUUAACUCUGGAACUGCCAUCAAAACUUUUCAGCUAGAGUAUGAUAGAGGAAAGCAGAAUUUCUAGUGUAGAGGUGAAAUUCGUAGAUAUUAGAAAGAAUACCAAUUGCGAAGGCAGCUUUCUGGAUCAUUACUGACGCUGAGGAACGAAAGCAUGGGYAGCGAAGAGGAUUAGAUACCCUCGUAGUCCAUGCCGUAAACGAUGUGUGUUAGACGUUGGAGAUUUAUUUUCAGUGUCGCAGCGAAAGCGAUAAACACACCGCCUGGGGAGUACGACCGCAAGGUUAAAACUCAAAUGAAUUGACGGGGACCCGCACAAGUAGUGGAGCAUGUGGUUUAAUUCGAAGAUACGCGCAGAACCUUACCAACACUCGACAUGUUCGUCGCGGCUCUAAGAGAUUAGAGCUUUCGGUUCGGCCGGACGAAACACAGGUGCUGCAUGGCUGUCGUCAGCUCGUGUCGUGAGAUGUUGGGUUAAGUCCCGCAACGAGCGCAACCCUCACUUUUAGUUGCCAUCAUUUAGUUGGGCACUCUGAAAGAACUGCCAGUGAUAAGCUGGAGGAAGGUGGGGAUGACGUCAAGUCCUCAUGGCCCUUACGUGUUGGGCUACACACGUGCUACAAUGGCAUUUACAAUAGGAAGCAAGAUGGCGACGUCAAGCAAAUCCUAAAAAGAUGCCUCAGUUCGGAUUGUACUCUGCAACUCGAAUACAUGAAGCUGGAAUUACUAGUAAUCGCGGAUCAGCGCGCCGCGGUGAAUACGUUCCCGGGUCUUGUACACACCGCCCGUCACACCAUGGGAGUUGGUUCUACCUUAAGGCAAGGUUUAAAACCCUUGACCACGGUAUAGUCAGC
RNAcentral lists this ribosomal RNA (939 nucleotides) under uncultured bacterium. RNAcentral describes it as "bacterial SSU rRNA". It matches the Rfam family "Bacterial small subunit ribosomal RNA", at positions 522 to 1472 of the family's 1533-position model. The record is from RNAcentral.